This 504-nucleotide ribosomal RNA is filed under the name uncultured bacterium. Its description in RNAcentral is "partial 16S ribosomal RNA". It matches the Rfam family "Bacterial small subunit ribosomal RNA", at positions 29 to 523 of the family's 1533-position model. The record is from RNAcentral.
AGUGAACGCUGGCGGUAGGCCUAACACAUGCAAGUCGGACGGUAGCACAGAGAGCUUGCUCUCUGGUGACGAGUGGCGGACGGGUGAGUAAUGUCUGGGGAUCUGCCCGAUAGAGGGGGAUAACCACUGGAAACGGUGGCUAAUACCGCAUAACGUCGCAAGACCAAAGAGGGGGACCUUCGGGCCUCUCACUAUCGGAUGAACCCAGAUGGGAUUAGCUAGUAGGCGGGGUAACGGCCCACCUAGGCGACGAUCCCUAGCUGGUCUGAGAGGAUGACCAGCCACACUGGAACUGAGACACGGUCCAGACUCCUACGGGAGGCAGCAGUGGGGAAUAUUGCACAAUGGGCGCAAGCCUGAUGCAGCCAUGCCGCGUGUAUGAAGAAGGCCUUCGGGUUGUAAAGUACUUUCAGCGGGGAGGAAGGCGAUGUGGUUAAUAACCGCGUCGAUUGACGUUACCCGCAGAAGAAACACCGGCUAACUCCGUGCCAGCCGCCGCUGUAA